UACGUAGGGUGCGAGCGUUAAUCGGAAUUACUGGGCGUAAAGCGUGCGCAGGCGGUUACAUAAGACAGAUGUGAAAUCCCCGGGCUCAACCUGGGAACUGCGUUUGUGACUGUGUGACUAGAGUACGGCAGAGGGGGGUGGAAUUCCUGGUGUAGCAGUGAAAUGCGUAGAUAUCAGGAGGAACAUCGAUGGCGAAGGCAGCCCCCUGGGCCCGUACUGACGCUCAUGCACGAAAGCGUGGGGAGCAAACAGG
This 253-nucleotide ribosomal RNA is filed under the name uncultured bacterium. RNAcentral's name for it is "partial 16S ribosomal RNA". It matches the Rfam family "Bacterial small subunit ribosomal RNA", at positions 524 to 776 of the family's 1533-position model. The record is from RNAcentral.